This 29-nucleotide non-coding RNA is filed under the name Homo sapiens (human). The record is from RNAcentral. Lineage: Eukaryota; Metazoa; Chordata; Mammalia; Primates; Hominidae.
CUAUGACGAUGCUGGGCGAAGCGGUUGGA